AACGAACGCUGGCGGCAUGCCUAAUACAUGCAAGUCGAACGAACACUUCGGUGUUAGUGGCGCACGGGUGCGUAACGCGUGGGAAUCUACCCUUGGGUUCGGAAUAACUUCGGGAAACUGAAGCUAAUACCGGAUGAUGACGUAAGUCCAAAGAUUUAUCGCCCAGGGAUGGGCCCGCGUAGGAUUAGCUAGUUGGUGGGGUAAAGGCUCACCAAGGCUACGAUCCUUAGCUGGUCUGAGAGGAUGAUCAGCCACACUGGGACUGAGACACGGCCCAGACUCCUACGGGAGGCAGCAGUAGGGAAUAUUGGACAAUGGGCGAAAGCCUGAUCCAGCAAUGCCGCGUGAGCGAUGAAGGCCUUAGGGUUGUAAAGCUCUUUUACCCGAGAUGAUAAUGACAGUAUCGGGAGAAUAAGCCCCGGCUAACUCCGUGCCAGCAGCCGCCGCCG
This 449-nucleotide ribosomal RNA is filed under the name uncultured bacterium. RNAcentral's name for it is "partial 16S ribosomal RNA". It matches the Rfam family "Bacterial small subunit ribosomal RNA", at positions 29 to 523 of the family's 1533-position model. The record is from RNAcentral.